CAUAUAGCUCAGUCGGUAGAGUACUUCCUUGGUAAGGAAGAGGUCACCGGUUCGAAUCCGGUUAUG
This 66-nucleotide transfer RNA is filed under the name marine eukaryotic metagenome. It matches the Rfam family "tRNA". From Rfam's summary of the family: Transfer RNA (tRNA) molecules are approximately 80 nucleotides in length. Their secondary structure includes four short double-helical elements and three loops (D, anti-codon, and T loops). The record is from RNAcentral.